GAUGAACGCUGGCGGCGUGCCUAAUACAUGCAAGUCGAGCGAACAGACGAGGAGCUUGCUCCUCUGACGUUAGCGGCGGACGGGUGAGUAACACGUGGAUAACCUACCUAUAAGACUGGGAUAACUUCGGGAAACCGGAGCUAAUACCGGAUAAUAUAUUGAACCGCAUGGUUCAAUAGUGAAAGACGGUUUUGCUGUCACUUAUAGAUGGAUCCGCGCCGCAUUAGCUAGUUGGUAAGGUAACGGCUUACCAAGGCGACGAUGCGUAGCCGACCUGAGAGGGUGAUCGGCCACACUGGAACUGAGACACGGUCCAUGCUCCUACGGGAGGCAGCAGUAGGGAAUCUUCCGCAAUGGGCGAAAGCCUGACGGAGCAACGCCGCGUGAGUGAUGAAGGUCUUCGGAUCGUAAAACUCUGUUAUUAGGGAAGAACAAAUGUGUAAGGAACUAUGCACGUCUUGACGGUACCUAAUCAGAAAGCCACGGCUAACUACGUG
RNAcentral lists this ribosomal RNA (497 nucleotides) under uncultured bacterium. RNAcentral describes it as "partial 16S ribosomal RNA". It matches the Rfam family "Bacterial small subunit ribosomal RNA", at positions 28 to 507 of the family's 1533-position model. The record is from RNAcentral.